RNAcentral lists this ribosomal RNA (305 nucleotides) under uncultured bacterium. RNAcentral's name for it is "bacterial SSU rRNA". It matches the Rfam family "Bacterial small subunit ribosomal RNA", at positions 337 to 641 of the family's 1533-position model. The record is from RNAcentral.
UCCUACGGGACGCAGCAGUGAGGAAUAUUGGUCAAUGGGCGAGAGCCUGAACCAGCCAAGUCGCGUGAGGGAGUACUGCCCUAUGGGUUGUAAACCUCUUUUGUCGGGGAGCAAAAGCCGGACGUGUCCGGCUGUGAGAGUACCCGAAGAAAAAGCAUCGGCUAACUCCGUGCCAGCAGCCGCGGUAAUACGGAGGAUGCGAGCGUUAUCCGGAUUUAUUGGGUUUAAAGGGUGCGCAGGCGGACCAUCAAGUCAGCGGUAAAAUCGUGGGGCCCAACCCCAUCCCGCCGUUGAAACUGGCGGUC